This is an RNA transcript of Mastomys coucha (southern multimammate mouse), 3582 nucleotides long. It is a transcript of the gene named SUFU negative regulator of hedgehog signaling, with no coding region annotated. NCBI's taxonomy places the organism in Eukaryota, Metazoa, Chordata, Mammalia, Rodentia, Muridae. The record is from RefSeq and is a predicted model, not a curated record. The transcript has 13 exons.
CCAAUGGGUGCCAGGCGAGGGCACGCAGACGCCCCGCCCCCUGGAGCUCCCCGCGGUCCCACAGCAUCCUCUGGCCGACGUCUUGAAGGCUCCGGCUUGGGCGGACGGAGCCUCGUGCGCAGGCGCGGAGUUAGACCUCGCCGUAGCCCCCAUCGCCUCGGGGAGUCUCAUCCACAGUGGGUCCGCUGGCCCAUAGGGGCGCUUUCCCUCCUCUACCCUCCCGAGUUCCCCGCGCGCCCUACGCGCCCCAAUGGCGGAGCUGCGGCCUAGCGUCGCCCCCGGUCCCACCGCGCCCCCGGCCUCUGGCCCUAGUGCCCCUCCGGCCUUUGCUUCACUCUUUCCCCCGGGACUGCACGCCAUCUACGGAGAGUGUCGCCGCCUCUACCCUGACCAGCCCAACCCGCUCCAGGUUACCGCUAUCGUCAAGUACUGGUUGGGUGGUCCAGACCCCUUGGAUUAUGUCAGCAUGUACAGGAAUAUGGGGAGUCCUUCUGCCAACAUCCCCGAGCACUGGCACUACGUCAGCUUUGGCCUGAGCGAUCUUUAUGGUGACAACAGAGUCCAUGAGUUUACAGGAACAGAUGGACCAAGUGGAUUUGGCUUUGAGUUGACAUUUCGUCUGAAGAGAGAAACCGGGGAGUCUGCCCCACCAACAUGGCCAGCAGAGCUGAUGCAGGGCCUAGCCAGAUAUGUCUUCCAGUCAGAGAACACCUUCUGUAGCGGGGACCAUGUGUCUUGGCACAGCCCUUUGGAUAACAGUGAGUCAAGAAUUCAGCACAUGCUGCUGACGGAGGACCCACAGAUGCAGCCUGUGCGGACACCCUUUGGGGUAGUUACUUUCCUCCAGAUUGUUGGUGUCUGCACUGAGGAGUUACACUCAGCCCAACAGUGGAACGGGCAGGGCAUCCUGGAACUGCUGCGCACAGUGCCCAUUGCUGGCGGUCCAUGGCUGAUAACUGACAUGCGGAGGGGAGAAACCAUAUUUGAGAUCGAUCCACACCUGCAACAGGAGAGAGUUGACAAAGGCAUCGAAACAGACGGUUCUAACCUGAGCGGUGUCAGUGCCAAGUGUGCCUGGGAUGACCUCAGCCGGCCUCCAGAUGAUGACGAGGAUAGCCGGAGCGUCUGCCUCGGCACACAGCCUCGGAGGCUGUCUGGCAAAGACACAGAGCAGAUCCGGGAGACCCUGAGGCGAGGACUGGAGAUUAACAGCAAACCUGUCCUUCCACCAAUCAAUUCUCAACGACAGAACGGCCUCACCCAUGACCGGGCUCCGAGCCGCAAGGACAGCUUGGGCAGUGACAGCUCCACGGCCGUUAUCCCCCACGAACUGAUCCGCACAAGGCAGCUCGAGAGUGUGCAUCUAAAAUUUAACCAAGAGUCUGGAGCUCUUAUCCCUCUCUGCCUAAGGGGCCGACUCCUGCAUGGCCGGCACUUCACCUACAAGAGUAUCUCAGGUGACAUGGCCAUCACGUUUGUGUCCACGGGAGUGGAAGGCGCCUUUGCCACUGAGGAGCAUCCCUAUGCAGCUCAUGGACCCUGGUUACAAAUUCUGUUGACAGAAGAGUUUGUAGAGAAAAUGUUGGAGGACUUAGAAGAUCUAACUUCUCCAGAGGAAUUUAAACUUCCCAAAGAGUACAGCUGGCCUGAGAAGAAGCUCAAAGUAUCCAUCCUCCCUGACGUGGUGUUCGAUAGUCCGCUGCACUAGCCUGGGCUAGGCCCUGCAGGGGCCGAGAGGAGCCCAGCUGCUCCUGGUGACUUCCAGUGUGACAGCUUAUAAAGGAGACACCCAUGAAUAAAAGGCCUGGCCCUCUUGUGGGUACCAUGCUCUCACCUCCAGGACUGCAGAUCUGCUUGCCUUCCAGGGACAUUUGAGAGCUGCGUAGGAGAGAUCUCCCACUUCUGACCUGGAACUGGCAAGCGCUUUUCCUGCAUUCUUGCCUGCCUCUAGGAUGGAUGGUCUUUGUUCAUUCUUUAAAUCCAGAUGUCUCCAAAGGAAAGAUAUGUUGUCUGUCAGGGACCUUGCAAGAGCUCCCCUGCUCUGUCUGCCCCCCCACUGCCUACAACGGCCUCAAGGGGCCUUUGGAGGAAUGGCUCCAUCUGGCCACAUGUGCAUAGCCUAGGUCUAAGCUCAACCAGCACUUAGAGGCAGACCCAUCAGGAGCAUCUGAGAGAGGCUGGCUGCAGACCCCAACCAGCACAAUAGAAAAGCCUGUCUGGAGCAGACACGACACUGCCCGGGACUUUUCCACAAGGGCAUUUCCAGCCAUACCUUUAAAGCUCUUGUCUUCUGAAAGUUUGUGGGCCAAGAGAUGCUAUCAGUGUUGCCUCUGUUCCUUGCCAUCACCAGUGUUGUAAUAGCUCCCCCUCCCUAAUUCUCUCCGGAGACCUGCCUCAGGGCCCCUCUGCAUUCUCCCCUAGCUCCUUUUGUCUGGCUCAGGGGUGAGAAUGCAUGCUAUGAGCAUCAGAUCACAUAGUUAGUGUUAGUGUGACCAAUGGGAGACUGGUGGUUGUGACCACCUGCUUGAGUGGCUCCAUUCUUAGGGAGCAGGGAAUGGCAGGUAAGCUCCAGAUGGUCACAGGCCCUGAGGUCUUUACUGCCUCCACCCUGUCAGGAACCUCAGGAAUGUCUAAACUCCUGCUGGGACCAGACCCCCAUCAUUCCUGUACAAUGGCUCUAGGAGAGUAGCUAAUCUCAGCCUGGUCUGACCAGGCCUCCUUUCCCUUGGGCUCUGGUUUCUUCCAGAGGAAUCUCAGGGAAAGAGGUUCACCAUUAAGCUACCGGCUGGGAAGAAGAGACCCUCACAUCGGAUUAAGCAAGACUGGCCUUACCGUGACACAGGAUGGGUGUUCAAGAGAGGGACCCUCCCUUCCCCUUCCUGCAGCGGCUCUUUGGGGCUAACACGUCAUAGGGAGGGGUUCAGGAGUCUCCUCCCUGACUCUACAGACUUCCUCAGCCUUUCCCCAUCCUUCAACCUUCCAAAUCCACGGGACCAGAGAUUCUGAAAGGAAGGGACUCCAACGUCCUGUAACUAAAAACUCCUGGGCCUGUGUAGGCUGCAGAGGUGGCCUUGUGGCUGCCAUGCAGGGGAGCAUGCUCCUCUUCUAAGGGUGACACUCCAGCAGGGCCUGUAAAUGCUCUGGGGAGUCUAAAGGUCUAGGACACAUAACCAGACCCUGGGGCUGGGGGCUGGACUUUGAGAGCGAGAGCAGGGAGAGAACCUGAAGAUUGGUGCCCCUAUGGGGCAGAUCAGAAAACUCCCUCAGCGGUAUUUUUUUAACCUGGUCUUCCCUCUCUGGCCUCCAUGAUCUUGGUGCCAGGUGAGGUGUCUGGGUCCCUGUUACAAGUCAGGAGCCCUGGUGGGAGACCCACUUCUUUUGUACAAAGAUCUGAAUGCUGCAAUGAACAGACUUUUGUACAUUUUUAUAUCAGUUUUUAAUGUCAGUGGCGACUCAGUUCCUGGGGCUACAGCUGGCUCAGGAUUUUUGUAAGAAAUUUUGAGUGACUCACUUAGAUUUUGUUCCUACUUGUCCCUCCUCCUCUGUGUAAUCUAAGUGCAUUAAACAUAUCUGCAGACUGUC